Mustela erminea (ermine) is the source of this 4650-nucleotide long non-coding RNA. RefSeq lists it as uncharacterized. The transcript is spliced from 5 exons. The record is from RefSeq and is a predicted model, not a curated record. Lineage: Eukaryota; Metazoa; Chordata; Mammalia; Carnivora; Mustelidae.
UCUGCAUUUCAAAGAAGCUACCGAGGGCCUCUGACAGCCCCGUUCUGAGAACCACACUGUGAGCAGCUUCUGGUGGCUGACUCGGUCACUGUGACUGGCUCUGGUCCGGGCAUGAAACCCAACCUGGGCCGCUGAGGAUUGGCCCUGGGAUGCCAGCAGGAAGAAUCAAUCUGGAAGGCGAAGCUGUUCUUGUUCAUGGCAGUUGGGAAACUGGAAGCACACAUUCCUCGAGCCCCUACUCGGUGGUGUAAGGGACAGACUGGCCCAGAAAUGGACAGGACCAGCUUCCUGCUGGCGUCCAAGUUCCUGGACCCUGUAACACCUGAAGCGAGAUGCCCCCCUCCAGCUUCCCAGUUAUGUGGGCCAAUAAAUUCCCAAUUGUCUUCAACCGGCUUGACCUGGGGUUUCUCUUGCAUAUGACAAAGUAGCCCAGAGUGAUGCACACAGUUCUCGGCCUCCUCCGGGGCCUUCAAAGGCAACAGUAACAAGUUAUCUUCAAGCACCUGCCAUGUUUCCACACUUAUCUCAUUUAAUCACUGCCCUUCCCCUGUGGCUGGUUCACUGGGGGUGUCGCCACUCGCAGUUGGGGAACCGAGCCCAGAGAGGAGAAGUGACUUGCCCAAAGGCACGCAGCCGAAGCGGCAAACCGGGGGUUCUAUCCGCAGCUGUUGGCCUCUGGAGUUCUGCUGCCAACGUCCUUGCUCUGGCUGUUGUCGAAAGUGCUGGCUGCUGUCCAAGGGAGGCGUGUAAGAGGCCCGCUUGGAGAAGUGGGGGAGGGGAGGCCCGGGGAGAGGGCGGACGGGCCGGACGGCAAAAGGCAGAGUUUAUUUGGAGGAAACAGACAAGGAAAGGGGCACCUUUGUGCCUGGGCUGAGGAAGCUUUAUCAGAAAGCAUUCAUCCAUCCCUGCCUUCUUCCAACGCUGAGGCGCCGUUGGAUUCGCUACGGAAAUGUGCCUGCGGCUCUGCGGGGACCCAGGGCGCCAUGGCCCAGGGUCAUCUCUCACCCCCUGGCCCAGUGAUUGGAACACGUGACCCAACUCCAAUGAGACCCGGUCCUGAGACUUUGGUGGAACUCCUGGCAAACAGAAGCUCUUUGCGCACCGCAGUGGGCAUGCGGGCCUGCAGGGAGAGGCGCUCCCUGGCGCGGUUUGCACGUUUCUGUUGGACAGAGUCUUCCUGUGAAUAAACGCACCACGGAGGCAAGCAGAGCACAGAAAUGGAAAUAGAGAAGUUGGGUUCUGAUAGGCCGUCCAGGCGCUCAGAUCAGUGUUCCUGAAGCCAUUAUUACUUUUUAAAGAACCAAUGGGCUGUGUGUGUGUGUGUGUGUGUGUGUGUGCUUAGGCUAACUUGAGCCAGACUCUCUGUCCGUUGCAGGAGAGAGAUUUCUGACAUAACCAUGGCUGCUAUCAUUUCCACCAAAUCACAACCACAAUCAGGCCACCCUGGGCUGACGAGGAACGCCUAGCAGCCCAUGUGAGAAAGCUCCAGACUCCGGUUUUUCCUCACCCUCCACCUCUUCCAACUGCCCCUCAGAGACACCCAGGAGGACACUUCAAGGCCUGUGCCCCGUCUGGCCCAGGCAUCCGUUCCUCGUGCCCCCCCCCCCAUUUCCCUCCUGCCUCGAUCCCCUCAGGAAAAUCUCUCCAGGUUUUCCUUACUUUUGCUUUAUUUACUCAGUUUCCUUAGUCUCGGAGCUGAUGAGCCAAGGUUCCAGACAGAGGACCACGUCCGGUGGCGAGCAGCCUGGAGUACAAGGCAGGAGACUUCGUGUUGGUCACGACUCUGCCACUAGAUUUCUGAACUCUGGGCACCCUUGAGGCUGUUGGAGCUCGGUCAUAAAACCUUCCCAUUCUGAGGUCCAUAGCCCCAAAGGGCGUCCCUGGAAGUAGAAAGAAGGGAUCCCUCGUUGCUGAGAAGGUUGGAAGCGAUCAGGUGCGCCUGGAGUCAGAGGCCUAAAUAUUAUCACCACCUUCUCGUUUUGCCUCAGCCCUCCUUUCUCCAGUGCCUCCAUUUGUAGUUGCCGCUCAUGUGGUCACAGUUCUAGCAGCUCUGUAGACCGCGCGCUCCUGGGUUCUCAGCGUGGGGGAUGGGGCAAGGUAUCUGAGCAUCUCCAUCAAAAGCCCUACAUGACUCUAGCUGCCCUAACUUGGGGGAUGUGACGCCCUGAACCAGUUGCUGGCCCAGAAUGCCAUGUGCUGACUGACUUAGGCUGGUGUCAGAAGCUCCACCCCCAGUUCUGAAGGACUGGAGAUGGGAAGUCUCCCAAACCUAGGGGCUCUUGCUGGUAGGAAGGAGACAGCUUUGAGAUGCCCCGUUCCACAUUUACUAUGUGCCACACUCACUCAUCGUUUCAGUGAGUCUCACCACACCCUCGUCUAUAUAGGGUUGGAGGAACCCUUCUUUCAGGAAAGAAAACAGGUUCCGGGAGGUUAAAUGAUUUGCUUGAGGUCACACAGCACAUUCCAAAGUUACUUACAGAAUCCCAAACCCAAAGUCCACUUUGAGGUGGGGGAAGGAAGGCCAAGUUCUGGUUAAAAGUUAGUGCAUAGGAGAAAACAAAGAGGCGAACUAAAAGAGAAAUUCCACAGAGAGUAAAUCGUGCUCUGCACAGGGACGUUUGCUAGAAUUCUGGGGAAUAAGGCGUGCACUCUCUCUCUCUCUGUCUUCUGGAACCAGCCAACAGGGAAGACAUGAGCCUGGAGCUGCCAGACACAUGGGAAGGGCGCCCGAGGGAGAAGGCAGCAGAAAGGGCUACUGGGAGUGCUGGAGCCUUCCUCCCCGCGGAGCGCUCCCGAGCCCAGCCUUCCGGCUCCCGCCCGCCGUGCGGCCUCCACGCCUGCCCCUGCCUCCAGGUCUCUGUUCUCCCUCUCCGGGGUGCCUGGAGCUCUGCACAUCCUCAGGGGCCCCAAGCUCCUGUCACUGGGAUCUCAGAUCAAGUUCCCCUUCUCCGAGCCCUUCCUGUCCAUUCCCUGUAAUCUCGGGCCCUCCCAGUCACCCGAUAUCCUGCUACCCCACUGAAUGGGGAUCAUCAGCUUCGAUCUUUUCCUGUGUUCAGCGUCUGUCUUUGUGCUCCCCAGACUGGUAGCUGCCCUCCUCACCUCUGUGGCUCCGGGGCCUGGAGCUUGACAUGGAGUCCAUGCCUGGCAAGUAUUGUCAGAAUGAACCGAGUAAGAGAAAGAGCCUAAGACAAGCUGGCCAGCCUCUUAUGUGACAAGUUCCCUUCCGCCACCCCCCGACCCCCAUCCUUGCCAUCCUAGCAAGUGGUACCCGACCGGCCCCUGGCCCGGUGGGGGGGUGGUGGUGUUGGUGGUGGUGGUGGUGUUGGCGGGGAGCAUUGUCUAAAGGGGAGAGCAAACUGGCGGCCCACCGCAGCGUUUAAAUGCUUUUCUUUUUUUUUAUUGUGGUAAAAAAAAAAAAAGCACACAUAACAGAAAAUUCAACCAUCUAGGCAUUUCUCAGGGUACAAGUUGAAUUGUGUUAAGUGUAUUCACGUCGCCGUGCAACAGAUCUGUAGAACGUUUUCUUCUUGCAAAACUAAAACUCUGUGUGCAUUAAACAACACCUUCCCAUGUCCCCCCUCCCCCAGGCCCUGGCAGCCACCCGACUGCUUUCUGUUUCUAUGCGUUUGACUACUUUAGGUGCCUCGCAUAAUUGGAAUCGUGCACUGACUUUUUGUGUCUGGUUUAUUUCACUUAGCACGUCCCUAAGGUUCAUCCGCGUUGUAGCAGGUGACACGGUUUCCAUCCUUGCUAAGGCUGAAAGCUAUUCCACUGUGUACGUACACACUCAUCCCUUGGGGGACUCCUGGGCUUGCUUCCACCUCUCGGCUGUUGUGAAUGAUGCUGGUAAUGAACACAGCUUGUACCGGGACGUGAAGCAGAGGAUGUGCGUGCGAAGAUUGGCUUGGAGCGUUGAUCUGCGGUGGCCUCUUCACUCGAGACAUCAAAACACGUGUUCUGCUCUCUACCACCCCCCCCCAGAAGCAGCUGGGAGUGGAGACGCAGAGCCCAAACCGCCGGUUCAAAGCGCUGUGCCAGUGGCUGGGACUCAGUCUUCGACACGACCGAAACCUCACCAGUUUGGACCGCAUUUCCCCAAACCCAGCUCGAUGGUAUCUUCAGAGGCUUGGGGAGGCAGAGUCAAGACACUGGUGUUCAGCAGGAGGACAAGGUUCCACGGUCUUCUGCUCUCGGGUUGUGGGGACCGCCCUCCCGGCUCCAUACUCGGGACCCCUGUCCUCAGAUGCUGGAAGGUGAGGCGCGGGCGCCGCUGAGAGUGGGGCCUUGAGAAACACCAGGGGUGGCCGCGGGAGAGGCGCUCGUGGGGACCUUGACCCCAGGUCCCUGGGGCGGGAAGUGAGAGCUGGCCGAGUGUUCACGGAACAGGCCGAAACGUGCAACAUUUCAACAACACUUCAAGAACACUCCUUGACCUGCAGUGGGUGGGCUCGGUCCUAAGUGCCUUCUAAGCAGCACUUCCGUUAAUCCUCCCAAGAGCCCUUGGAGGCAGGACUAGUGUCCUCCGCACUUGGCCAUCAAGGGCAAGGAGCGGCAGAGAGGUUAAUUUAAACGGCUCGCCUGGAGCACCUGGGUGGCUCAGUCGGCACAGGUCAUGAUCCUGGGGUCCUCGGAUGGAGCCCCUCAUCGCAU